Long non-coding RNA from Marmota monax (woodchuck), 640 nucleotides. RefSeq lists it as uncharacterized. The transcript has 2 exons. NCBI's taxonomy places the organism in Eukaryota, Metazoa, Chordata, Mammalia, Rodentia, Sciuridae. The record is from RefSeq and is a predicted model, not a curated record.
CUGGGGGCCGGCUCCUCAUGCAGGGGGAACAGGGACUGACCAGGUGGCAUCUGCAGAGAGGACCUGGGCUGGACACCCUGCCAAAGGUGUGCAGGGCCUGCCCAGCUGACUCUGCAGAAGUUGCCUGGAGCCAGCUUGGCGCUGGGGAGUGACACGCACAUUCCCACCCUGCAAUGUCUGGGACACAAGUCAGUGGGGAUGGGAACAUGCUUGGACGUGCCUGAGAUGGGUCCUCGCAUGGUGCUGGUGGGAAUUGAAAUUGGCACAACCAUUCAGGAAGGGAGUGACCAUGCCCAACCGCAGGACCUGGGGUUGCUGUCUGGGCAUCAGCGCCAGAGAAGUGAGCACUGGUGUGCCGGCGGAGAGGGACACGUCUGCCAGUCAAGGAGUGGGCCGAAGAUUGUGGCCACCUGUACACGGGAACUGAGAGGCGCUGACAGCUCAUCAAGCCUGGAAACUGGAUCCACGGGAUGAGUACCUGGUCGAGUCCUGGAAUGUUCCGGAAUUAGGACUCGAGAGAUGCGAUCCCAUGUUAAAUGUAGGUGGAGAUGGACUGCAUGAAACCCAGAGUGGGGGCUGGGAGAGUGGGCUGGACCCAAGCCUGUUCCUCCUGUUCUUUCAUUAAAUAGAUUAAUUUGGA